Nicotiana attenuata is the source of this 2649-nucleotide long non-coding RNA. RefSeq lists it as uncharacterized. NCBI's taxonomy places the organism in Eukaryota, Viridiplantae, Streptophyta, Magnoliopsida, Solanales, Solanaceae. The record is from RefSeq and is a predicted model, not a curated record. The transcript has 6 exons.
CCUUUGAUGCACGACAUCCCACCUUUUCAGCUGAGUUAAGAAAUGUUCGAUUAGGUUUGGCGAGUGACGGGUUCCAACCUUAUGGGAACAUGAGUUCUAAUCAUAGUAUUUGGCCAGUCGUACUAGCUACGUAUAACUUGCCACCAUGGGAUUGCAUGAAAAAUCCAUAUUUCAUGAUGACACUUCUUAUUCCAGGCCCCAAGUGUCCAGGCAAUGAUAUCAAUGUAUAUUUACAACCAAUGGUUGAAGAGUUGAAAGAAUUAUGGGACGGGGUGGAGACUUAUGAUGCACACUCAAAAUCUAAUUUUCUGAUGCGUGUGGCUAUCAUGUGGACGACCAAUGACUUUCCUGCAUAUGUGAAUCUUUCAGGAUGGUCAACCAAAGGCAAGCUUGCAUGUCCUUGUUGUCAUAAAGAUACAUAAUCGACUUCCUUGCGUAGUAAGUUGUGUUAUAUGGGUCAUCGUCGCUUCCUUCCCAUGGACCAUCCAUGGCGAAGAAGUAGGACGUUAUUUGAUGGGAAAGUUGAAAUGGGAGUUGCACCUAACCCUUUAACCGGUGAUGAAGUACUUGCGCAAUUACAAGCUUUGGGUAAUGUGGCUUUUGGUAAAGGACAAAAGAGAAAGCGUGAUGUUCAUAAAAAUGGUUACAACUGGAAGAAGAAAAGUAUCUUUUUCCAAUUGCCUUAUUGGAAGAGUCUUAUGUUACGACAUAACCUUGAUGUGAUGCAUCGAAAGAAAUGUGUCUGACAAUAUUAUAUCAACUGCCAUGAAUAUGGUUGAAAAGACAAAAGACACAUUGAAAAGUAGAUAUGACUUGAUGGACCUUGGAAUCAGACAAAGGUUGCAUCCAAUUGAGGAUGGGAAUAAUAUUUUGUUACCGGCAGCGUGCUAUGCAUUGUCCCCGGAAGAGAAGCUGAAGGCAUGCAGUUUCUUAGCUAAUCUGAAGGUUCCUGAUGCCUUUUUCCUCAAACAUUUCAAGGUGUGUCAAUGUACAAGAAAAGAAGAUACAUGGAUUGAAAUGUCAUGGUCAUCAUGUAUUGUUGCAAGAUAUUUUUCCAGUAGCUAUACGUGGUUUGCUACCCAAGGAAGUGUGUGAUCCAAUUAUAGCCUUAGGAAAAUUUUUCAAGAAUAUAUACUCUAAGUGCUUGACGAUUGAAGAUCUUGAUAUCCUAGAGGCAGAAAUUCCUAUUAUUUUGAGCAAACUUCACCUUGUUUUCCCUCCGACGUUCUUUGAUGUCAUGGUUCAUUUGCCAAUUCACUUGCCAAGUGAGGCAAAGCUUGGUGGACAUAUAUUAUAUUAAUGGGUUUAAUAUAAUAUGUAUCCUAUAGAGAGGUAUUUGCGAACACUUAAGUCAUAUGUUCGCAACAAAAAUCGCCCAGAAGGUUCAAUUGCAGAAGGUUAUUUGGCAGAGGAAAGCCUCACAUUUUGCUCGCGAUACUUGAAGGAUAUCUCAACCAAGUUUAAUAAACCAACUAGGAAUGACGAUGGAUCUGUGUCAAAUAAUGUGAUGUUUAUCUUCAAAAAAAGUGGUCAAACAAAAGGUGCUUCAGACGGCCAGCAGCAACAGAGAGAAAGAGACGACCAGGGUUCCAAGUCUUGUACACUUCCAACUUAACAUACGACCAGCAGCAACAGUGUCAGGAUAAAUUUGAAGUUUACAACGGGCUGCAAGAGCAUAGGUUUCAAGCCUUUGUAAUUAGCACUAUGCAAAGGCUUUUUAGAGCAUGGAAAGCUCGACUCAGCUGGUUGUACUCUAAGUACAAUACUAAUGAAGAAAGAUUGUCUCAUCGACCUGAAGAUGUUGAGCUUGAGGACUGGAAAUACCUAAUAUAAUAUUUUGGAAGUCAGGAUUUUAAGGUACUAACUUAAUACCUGAAGAUUCUGCCAACCAAAGGGCACCAUUCACAUCUUUGAAAGUGAAAUCCUAUUACUGGAGAAAUAGACACACCAGAUAAAGUUUGGGAGAUCCAACAUACACGCAAGGAUGAUAAAGGAGAAUUGGUGUGGGUGGAUCCACAAUCCCAACAAAUUCAUGGUCAACUCCAAGAAGUUGUCACUCAGCAACAAUCUGAAGAGAUCGAGCAUCCUAUGACUAGAGAUGAGACUUUAUCCACCGUUCUUGGUGAGAAAACAGGUUAUGUUCGCGGAAAAGGAUACGGAAAGAAGCCUCCUAAAAAGAGUAACAUACAGCAGGCAAGCAUCGAGUCCAGCGUGUCUUCCACUAUGGAAAUUAUGCGUCAAAAGAUGUAAGCCGAGAUGGAUAGAAAGUUGCAAGAAGAACGUGAACAAAUGGCUGCUCAGUUGCAAAGAAAUAUGGAACUUGAGUUGCAAAGGAAGUUGGCAGAGGAGCAUGAACACUCAAGUGUAGAAGUAGACAAGAGGAUCCAUCUAAAAGUGGACAAGAGGAUGCAUGAACAAUUUGCUAGUUUGAUGACCAGAAUGCUACAACAGCAGGGACAAGGCACUUAAACAAUAGUAUCGUUCAAGGAUGGUGUCGACCAAGGAGCAAUUACAAGGCACUUAAUAUUUUAUCUUUUUUGAGAUAUGUAUAUGCGUACAAUUAUAUUACAAUGCAUAAUGAAGUGUAGUUUUGUAUUAUGAAUUGACCUUUUUAGUAAUGAAAAUAUUUAUAAUAUUCAGUUUGAGAAA